This 253-nucleotide ribosomal RNA is filed under the name uncultured bacterium. RNAcentral describes it as "partial 16S ribosomal RNA". It matches the Rfam family "Bacterial small subunit ribosomal RNA", at positions 524 to 776 of the family's 1533-position model. The record is from RNAcentral.
GACGUAGGGCGCGAGCGUUGUCCGGAUUUAUUGGGCGUAAAGAGCUCGUAGGCGGCUUGUCGCGUCGUUCGUGAAAACUUGGGGCUCAACCCCAAGCUUGCGGUCGAUACGGGCAGGCUAGAGUUCGGUAGGGGAGACUGGAAUUCCUGGUGUAGCGGUGAAAUGCGCAGAUAUCAGGAGGAACACCGGUGGCGAAGGCGGGUCUCUGGGCCGAAACUGACGCUGAGGAGCGAAAGCGUGGGGAGCAAACAGG